This 501-nucleotide ribosomal RNA is filed under the name uncultured bacterium. Its description in RNAcentral is "partial 16S ribosomal RNA". It matches the Rfam family "Bacterial small subunit ribosomal RNA", at positions 30 to 523 of the family's 1533-position model. The record is from RNAcentral.
AUUGGACGCUGGCGGCAGGCUUAACACAUGCAAGUCGAGCGGGGAAAGGUAGCUUGCUACUUAACCUAGCGGCGGACGGGUGAGUAAUGCUUAGGAAUCUGCCUAUUAGUGGGGGACAACAUCUCGAACGGGAUGCUAAUACCGCAUACGUCCUACGUGAGAAAGCAGGGGACCUUCGGGCCUUGCGCUAAUAGAUGAGCCUAAGUCGGAUUAGCUAGUUGGUGGGGUAAAGGCCUACCAAGGCGACGAUCUGUAGCGGGUGUGAGAGGAUGUUCCGCCACACUGGGACUGAGACACGGCCCAGACUCCUACGGGAGGCAGCAGUGGGGAAUAUUGGACAAUGGGGGGAACCCUGAUCCAGCCAUGCCGCGUGUGUGAAGAAGGCCUUUUGGUUGUAAAGCACUUUAAGCGAGGAGGAGGCUACCGAGAUUAAUACUCUUGGAUAGUGGACGUUACUCGCAGAAUAAGCACCGGCUAACUCUGUGCCAGCCGCCGCAGUAA